This 6058-nucleotide long non-coding RNA is filed under the name Podarcis lilfordi (Lilford's wall lizard). The record is from RNAcentral. Lineage: Eukaryota; Metazoa; Chordata; Lepidosauria; Squamata; Lacertidae.
CUGUUAAAAUUCAUCUUGUUUUUGCCCAGUUCUCUAAUCUGUCAAGGUCAUUUUGAAGUGUGAUCCUGUCCUCUGGGGUGUUAGCCACCCCUCCCAGUUUGGUGUUAUCUGCAAAUUUGAUCAGGAUGCCCUUGAGUCCAUCAUCCAAGUCGUUGAUAAAGAUGUUGAAUAAGACCGGGCCCAAGACAGAACCCUGUGGCACCCCACUAGUCACUCUUCUCCAGGAUGAAGAGGAACCAUUGAUGAGCAUCCUUUGGGUUCAGUCAGUCAGCCAGUUACAAAUCCACUGAGUGGUAGCAUAGUCAAGACUGCAUUUUACCAGCUUCUUUACAAGAAUAUCAUGGGGCACCUUGUCAAAUGCGUUGCUGAAAUCAAGGUAGGCUACAUCCACUGUGUUCCCUUCAUCUACCAGGCUUGUAAUUCUGUCAAAAAACGAGAUCAGGUUAGUCUGACAUGACUUAUUUUUCAGAAAUCCAUGCUGACUAUUGGUGAUCCCAGCAUUCCUUUCUAGGUGCUCACAGACUGUUUGCUUAAUGAUCUGCUCCAGAAUCUUCCCUGGUAUUGAUUUCAGACUGACUGGGCGGUAAUUAUUUGGGUCCUCUCUUUUCCCCUUUUUGAAAAUAGGGACAACAUUUGCCCUCCUCCAGUCUGCCGGGACUUCGCCUGUUCUCCAGGAAUUCUCAAAGAUGACUGCCAGUGGUUCUGAGAUCACAUCUGCCAGUUCUUUUAAUACUCUUGGAUGCAGUUCAUCUGGCCCUGGAGACUUGAAUACAUCUAAACUAGCCAAGUAUUCUUGUACUAUCUCCUUAGUUAUUCUCGGCUGUGUUUCCUCUGCUGAAUCAUUUGCUCCAAAUUCUUCAGGUCGGGUAUUGUUUUCUUUAUCGGAGAAGACUGAGGCAAAGAAGGCAUUGAGGAGUUCAGCCCUUUCUGUGUCCCCUGUUUUGCAUUUCACCAUCUCCUCCUCUGAGUGACCCCACUGUUUCUUUGUUCUUCCUUUUGCUACAUAACUUGUGUGCUUACUGUAUGCGGCCUGAAUUUCAUUGGAAGAAAGGUGGGAUAUAUAUAUUAAAAGUGUAGUGCAAUGUAAUGUAGAUGCACUUCUAAACCUUUCCCUCCCAUGUUACAGUUUUCGGGAUCAAGGGUGACUUGAUAGAAGGAACCUAUGACCCAAAGUAUAAAGACCAUAACAUUAUCUUAGGCUGUAGCAUUACUAAGGGCUCAUUCUCAUGACCCCAUGUGAGGUGGAACAUUGUAUGGCUUCCCUCAGUAACAAUUCCUAUAGAGGUAUUGUCCAGUCAAACACUGCAGUUGUAACGUUUGUAUAACAACCAGUUAAGUCCAGUCACUAUGUGGUUACUUUCUACACAACUGUUGUCUAGCUCAACAGCAUAUAAUCAGCUCACAUCCCCAUGAUCAACCUCCACUAUACUACUACUAUUCCAAGAUUUAUGGCAGCUGAGGUGUACUAUUUCUGAAUUCAAAUUGGUACUGCACUUUAUUCUUACUGCAAAAAAAGCUUUACCAUUAAGGUUUCAGACUCUUCCCACACCCCACCCUGAAAGGAGCCCUGCUUUUCUGUUUCUUCAGAAGGUACUGAUCCAGGCAUAUUUCUGGAUUGGGAAACCCAGAGGAGAAACUCCUGCAGAAACAGAGGUCCUGUGCUGCUCUGAGGGGAUAUUAUUUUGCUGCAUCUCUGCUUGGAAAUGAUUGAAUCAUUCAAUCACCCCCAGUGCAGAAGCACAGUUGAAGUACUGGCCUCCAGCUGAGGCUCACUGGAAGAAAGCAAGGCCAGCACAGCGAUACAUGCAGAAAUGUAUCUGUCAGCCACCUCUGCAAAUGGGUACUUUGAGCUCACCAGUGCUCCCAGGGCAGCAUAAUGGUCAGGAUACUGGACUAGGGAGCAGGAAGACCCAGGUUCAAACCUGCCCUCAACCGCGAUAGUCACUGGGUGUCCUUAGCCUUGUCACGCCCUCUCAGCCUAAGCUGCCACACAAGGGUGUUUGAGGAUUCAAGCGGGGAGCCAUGAACACCACCCCGAGCUACUUGGGAGAGGGGCAGAAUAUGACAAAUAAAAAUGCAAUUGCUCCAGUAUGCAGAUGUUAUUUAUAUCCUGAGUAGAAGUGGUAACCACUACCCAAUAGUAUUGUAUGAAGAAAGCCCCCUGCCUGCCUUGAAGUGGUCAUUUCUAAUAACAGUCCCUUAAAUCAUAGAUCUCUCCUUGUCUACCUGAGUGAAAACACUUGGGUGGGUGUCUGUUAAUGAUUAAAACUGGGUCUGUUUUGGUAUGCUUGCAUCCAUGCAAGAGUGAUGCAUAACAUACUGUCAGUGUAGUGUGGGGCGUGUCCUCGUGGCACCUGGGGUGCACACACUGGGGGUGAGGUGGGCAAUGUGAGGAGGAUGCAACAGAGCAGCCACUUGCCCUUCCAAUCACUCGGACCGGGCUAAUUUGAAGGGUGCCUGCCUGUUGUGUCCUCCUGGUGCCCUCCUGCCAGCCCCACGUGUCCUCCUGCCAGCCCCACGCUGCUUUGUGAGGCUGGCAUGCCGGAUCAGACUCACAAAGCGGCGUGGGGCUGGCAGGGGUGGUGUUAGGAGCAAAAUGUGCCCCCCCAAAACUGCACCCAGGGCAAUGGCCCCCCUCGCCCUGCCCACACUACGCCUCUGUGUCCAUGCCUGGCUCUUAACAGUGAAAAGUUUAAUUAUAUAUCCUUCCCCCGUGUGACGCUAUCUUUCAUUGAUUUUUCAGGGAGGUGAGGGAGAGUGGGAUAAAACACUAAUUAUCAGCCCUUAUAGCUAUAUUUUUCCUCUUGCUUUGUAAUGUAAAUGAGCUACCUUUAUCUCCUUAAAAAGAAAAGAAGUCAGAGCCUCUAUUGGUGUGUCUUCUGCUUUUAAGAGAGGAAGGGUCACCUGACUGCCGCCUCAUCCUGCUCUUUUAUCUGAGGGAAACCAAGAGUAAUAGGUAGAGAGAUGGGCAUAGAAUAGGUCAUCACUGCUCAGAUGCUUAAAGGACCCUGACUGAAGGAGAGCAGAGUUAGGCUGCUGGUGGGGGGUGGGGAGAGAGACAGAGAGACUCCGGAGCUGCUGCCUGCUUGCCUUCAGAGAGCAGAGAAAACAAAAGCGCUCAGCUGCAGUUUUGUGUUGCUGUGUCUGGCUUUAGCGGAAAAUUCUAGACACCCGUGCUGAAAACUCUCAAGCACAGCCGAGGCUUCUUCCCUCUCAAGAAGAUUAUUUUCUUCCCUUACAAAUGGGUUGGAUCAGUACAGGUGGCCUCACUACCAGGAGAAGGCAGACUGGCUAAAUGAGGACCAUGGAAAGGUAGGCGAAAGGCUCUGCCUGGUUUUCCUGCUCUUAUUUUUCUCUCCACUCCUGCCUUCCUUUCCUGUAUUCGUGCCUGGAGCCAGUGCUUCAGUUUGCUGAGACCUAAAGGGAGAGGGGGUGGUCCAGCUGUGGGCAUUUAAAUCCCACAUUGCCAAAUUGGAAUUUGUAGUGCUACCUGUAAUUGAACAGAUGUGGAACCCAAACUUGAUCCUGAGUCUCACUUGGCUAUAUCGAGGAUGUUCGGUAUUUGCUGUAAAUCUCUGUGCUGCUGUUCUUAUUGCCAACCAACCCCUUUUCACUCAGGAAGUAUCAGAUAAUUGUUAUGUAGGAAGCAAAAAGCAGAAGAACGAACAAUCCAGGGUGCCAGGAAGGCUGAACAGAUGUACUGAUUAUUGGCUCUUUAGCAACAAAGGAAGAAUGGACUUUUUGGAGUUUCUUGAGGUGGCAGCAUUAGGAAAUGAGGGGCAAUUUUAUUUUGACUGUUUGUUCAUUUUAUGAAUGGUCAAGAGGUUAACUUUUGAAGGCUUCCUUCUUCAGCAAUGCCAAAAUCAGCUUGUUCCUUUAGAGUCACUUUCUGGCUGCUAUUAAAAGCAGAGAAACCAUUUAAAAAAUUGCUCUGGUUCCCAAUGGCUUAAAAGCUAGAGCUGGGGAAGAGCCAGGAUUUGGUGUUUCAGACUUCUGUAUCCGCUUGAGUGUGACUGUUGUCAUGUAAAAUAAAAGCUAGCUAUAUCUAGCAGACCUGAAUGCAUUUGUGUUCCUUUCAUAGUGAAUGAUGGAUUUCCUUUUGUUCUUGAACAUGCCUUUUGCCUCUGCCUUUUGGAACAACAACAAAAAAGCAUUGCAUCUGAAUGCAUUGGGGCUUUGUUAUUUAUUUUAAUGUUAGUGAAAGCCAUGUAUACAAAUCUCCCAUUGUGUGGUUAUGCUCUGCUUGAUUCUGAAGUAAACUGGGGGGGGGGGGGUAAAUUGGGAAAAGAGCUGGUCCUGGGGUAAUAUUGGAUGUUUUUAAUCCCUGCCACCUGAAAUGCAUACAGAAGCUUACAUUUAGUGGUAGCUGGCAUUCAGCUCCAUGCCCCACUGAAAUCUGCAACACACAACAGAAAGCACCACAAGAGAACACUAGUAAAUCAGAUUUGUAAUGGGCCCUUUAAAAUUUUCUCCUUAAGGGAUGACUAUCUGGGUCCCCCCUUUGGCCAAAGUAGGAUGCAGUCUGACAGUGCACAGAGCAGCUGCAUGGUGACAUUUUCUCUGGAUACUAGUGAAAAAUGGCUCCACAUCUCUUCUGUAGAGAUGGUCUCUGAGUAGCCACGCAUUUCUCUGAAACAAUUGUUUGUUCUAAUCACUAUGCUUUGCUGAGGCUGCCUGUCUGGUUAAUUUCAGUUUCCUUGUUUGAAACCUCUGCUGUGUAUUGUCAGGGAUACUUGACUAGGAAGAGUGUGGUGGGGGUGGGAAAGGUUGUGGGCGUUUUUCUCCCCCCUUGAAGUAGGAACCCAUGGCAAUAUGACUGCCUCAGUAGACAGGAAAUGUUUAUUACAGACGGGCUGUAUGAAUUCUGCCAACAGCACCACUUCCGACAGUAUUAAUGGAAAAGAGAAGUGUGUUUAAAAUGUACGUGGCUUAGAUAAUGCACCACCCACUGGAAAGGUGGGGGUACAAAAUGCAAAACAGCACUUACUGGGAACUGAAAGGCAUAAGCACCAAUCCUUAGAAGAUGGUCAAUUUCUGAAUGGAUAAUCAUGCUUUUAUGAUAACAUCGCUGCUAGGGAAUUCAAAAGGGAAAGCUCUUGGUCGCAUACAACUAAACAGUGAGGAAGGGAGAGAGAAAUCUUUCUUUUAUUUUGCUUGAAGACAGACUCAUUGAUGAAAAUCACUGAAUCAAAGAGCUGUUGAGUGCUGGCAAACCUGAAGCAUUGUUGUUGGUUUUGUCUAUGUAUUCUGGAUAGCAGAAGCAGGAGGAGAGCUCUUAUAAAAAGCACUGUGUUUAGGGAAAGGAAAGGUAGGGGGUGUAGCCUUGACUGCCUUCCCUUUCCUCCAUAAUGCCAUGUGUGAUAUGAUUUGCCAAGCUGUACUGGAGUUGGCUUAAGAGGAAAUGGAAUCUCCUUCCCACUCCUGCAGUGCCCAGAAAGAGUUAAAGCGUCACAAUAAAUAGCUACCAGGGAAAGAGUGGGCUAGAGAAAUGGGAUGGGUAGUGAGGACAUGAUAUCCAAAAAUAGUGGCUAGAUAAAUUGAUGAUUGAUCUUUGAAUGUGAAAUUAGCAUUUUAUAAAAACACAAAGAAUACUCAGUAUCGAGGCUACAAAAUGCAAUAGUUUCUAUUCAAUUUCAGACAUGACUGGCAGCAAGCAAGCAGUAAUUUUCAGAGCUUCUAUUCUCGUGGCACAAAUGUGGUGCCAAUUACUCAGUAUAAAAGGCACAGCCCUUCAGAUGGUUGUUUAGAAAUGGUGUAAUGUAUCAGAACACUCUUCCCCAAUGCAUGUUUCAAUUCGUUUCCACAGAACUAAAAGCCUGAAGGUGCACUGUGAUUCCACUUCAUCAGAGAAAAUGGUGAAAAUGGACCUCUAAGUGCACACAUGCAGUCUGAUUAAUGCUUUUAUAAACGUAGAUAAUUUCGCCAUCAUAAAUGGCCUAUUCAGAGGAAAGUGAUGCAAUUUACAAGGUGGGGAAAUGUAAAAAGAGGAUUCGAUACUAGCCAUCCUUUACGCCACCAGAGAAACAAUAAUGUCAUGCCAACAUUACACACCCCUUAC